UGCGUAGGCGGAAUAUUAAGUCAGUGGUGAAAUCCUGCGGCUCAACCGUAGAACUGCCAUUGAUACUGAUAUUCUUGAAUGUAGUUGAGGUAGGCGGAAUGUGUAAUGUAGCGGUGAAAUGCUUAGAUAUUACACAGAACACCGAUUGCGAAGGCAGCUUACUAAACUAUGAUUGACGCUGAGGCACGAAAGCGCGGGGAGCGAACAGGAUUAGAUACCCUGGUAGUCC
Molecule: ribosomal RNA, 229 nt
Filed under: uncultured bacterium
Lineage: Bacteria
Description: partial 16S ribosomal RNA
Rfam family: Bacterial small subunit ribosomal RNA
Source: RNAcentral